RNAcentral lists this long non-coding RNA (3056 nucleotides) under Sus scrofa (pig). RNAcentral describes it as "lncRNA (ENSSSCG00015058099.1)". Lineage: Eukaryota; Metazoa; Chordata; Mammalia; Artiodactyla; Suidae. The record is from RNAcentral.
UUUUUUUUUUUUUUUUUUUUUUGUCUUUUUUUAGGUCCGCAUCCGUGGCAUAUGAAAGUUCCCAGGCUGGCAGCAUCAGCUCCACUUCAACCCCUAGCCUGGGAACCUCCAUAUUCCAUAGGUGCGGCCAUCAAAGAAAGAAAGAAAAACCGAAAAGAUUUAAAAAAAGAAAAGCCACAGGCAAUUGCUCUUCUGGCAGCUGGGGCAGGACCCCCUUCGUAGUGUCCUGGGCCACAACUAAACUGUGACUCUGCUCUCCUGUAUUCAGCAGGGGGUUACACAGAAAAACUCCUCUCCCUGAUUCCUCCCCUCCCACCCUGCUUGGGGAUUUUUCUUUUUUUUUUUUCUUUUUUUUCUUUUUUUUUUUGCAUCAGACAGCAGUCAGCUGCAGCUGCAGGCACAUCUCUGGCUGCCUGGCGUACUGUUGUUCAACACACUGGGGGAGUUCCUGUCGUGGCGCAGUGGUUAACGAAUCCGACUAGGAACCAUGAGGUUGCGGGUUCGGUCCCUGCCUUUGCUCAGUGGGUUAAGGACCUGGCAUUGCCGUAAGCUGUGGUGUAGGUUGCAGACGCAGCUCGCAUCCCGCGUUGCUGUGGCUCUGGCGUAGGCCUGUGGCUACAGCUCCAAUUCGACCCCUAGCCUGGGAACCUCCAUAUGCCGCGGGAGCGGCCCAAAGAAAUAGCAAAAAGACAAAAAAAAAAAAAAAAAAAACAAAAAACAAAAAACACUGGGGAAAGCUGUGUCUGGAGUCUGAGUCUGGGAGCAAAUAAAUAGAAAAAACAAAAAAACAAAAACCGGGUACCUGCAGUGGGGUGACGAGGUCAAGAAAAAAACCGGGAGCCAGGCAAGGAAGUUCUGUCGUUGACUCAGCUCAGCAUUUGGGGAAAUCCUACCCUUCUAAUCGCCACCAUUCCCAGACUCCAAGACCCCCCAGCCCCAAUCCCACCAGGCUUAUCAGUGAGCAUCAGAGGCUGUGGUUGAUGCUGGCAAUUUCUACUCCCAGGGUUUAAGAGUUGGAAAGAGCUGUUUGAGUCUAGUUUUUUUGCUGGUUUGUUUAGGUGGUCUGCAUCCCUGCAUCCGCGCUCUCUUGCUUCUUGCAUUCUGGGUUCUGUACUGGGCAUUGGAAACGCAUUUGAACUGAAAUCAAUGGUGCAAAAGACCUUUGGGAAUCCCGGUGGCGGUUUAGAGCCACCUGAGGUUUCAUCUUCCAAAACCGAGUCUCAGACCCCUUGGAGAAUGUAAAGGCGGAAAGGGGCUCUGAGGCUGCCUAGUUUACCCUUCAGCUGUGUGGGUUUGGAGACACCCUUUAACCUUGAUGACUCUGAUGUGCAGGAUGGGGAAAUACUGACACCGGCUUCAUAAAACUGGAGAUUAAAAGCGUCAACACAGAUAAGGAACUUUAACAGGGCCAGGCAUCUGGAAAGUUCCCAAUACAUUUUUAGCCUCCAACCCUCCCAAAUCAAUCAUGUCUACUUAAAAUGUGAAGCAGUAAUAGUUCACCUUUCAUCUCCUCUUGAUCAAGCCUCUUCCUGUCUUAGGAAAAGAUUGUACAUCACCAGCCUAAACAUAACCUUUGUAAUUGAGCAGAGUUAGAUUUUGUCCAGAUUUAAUCGAUUCCAUAGGUAAAGAUUCCAUAGGUAAAGAUCGAUUCCAUAGGUAAAGAUCAAACUGAGACGUCUUGGGUUUUCCCCAUCAUUAGGACUUUGAAUAUUCCAUUUGCUGAGUGACUAUUAGAUGCCAGACUCUGCAGUAAGUGCUUUACAUGAUUAGGUGUCAUCUUCCCAACAGGUAGGAGGUAGGUACUGUUAUUCGUUUCACGUAACCUAACAUCAGAGAGGUCAGCGGACAUUUCAAGUUUGCAAGACCCUAAGCUAUAGGAUUCAGAACAUGGCUUGCAGAUUCCAGAGAUAACCUCUUAGUUGCAAUGCUCCAUUGCCUCUGUUUGUUCAGUAACUUAGAAAAGAAUGGUGAGUGAUACCUUGUAUCUCCCUGUUUUUUAUGGGGUGACAGUGAGGGAGAGAAGGAGCUGUUGGCACAGGCAGGAGGGGUGAUUCAGUGCCAGAGGAGCAUGGAGAAUCGGAGAUGCAUUUGAGCAGCAAGUCUGAGACCCCAGAGUCUGUUUGCUUCCGUAUUUUUAUCCCUAAGCUCUGUUGGUUUCCCUGGAGGGUGGAUUGUUUGAGGUUUCACUCAGCUCGGGGCUCAGGAGUCAGUCUCUAAUAGUAAAUGUUCAGCUUGUGGCUGAAAAUGGUCUUUCAGAUGCUCGUGGGCUUCAUGAGUCACUGAUGAUGGAGGUUUUCAGCCACUUGAUGGGAAGAUUUCCUGGGAUGUGUUUUCCGAUAUUUUUAGGGCUAGAGUAUAUUCUCAGAAUGAGAGAAGCCCCCAAAUGUUGUGUCUUGUUAGCCUCAUGCUUGUAUUAACUGUGCCUUGCCAUGGGUAUAAGGAGUCAAUGAAAAUCACUUUGUCCAGGAAGGAUCAUUCCCUUACAUCCUGUGGACUUUUAUUCCUAUUGUCUCUUGUUGGCUGCUUCCAUAAUUAAGUAGUUUUACAGACUUUCAGUCGGCUAAUCCCUUCUAUCCCAAAUGGAUCUGGUGUGUCGUAAGACGUCCAGGAUUUGACAGCCUACUAUGUGAGCCUUAUGGCACCUUCUAAGCCAACAAAAACCUUUGAGGACAUUUAAAAAUACACUUGAAGCAAUUUAAUACUAUUUAUAUCGAUUUCAAAGCUUCAUCUGGUGCUCAAAAUUAACACUGGGAUAUUAGAUCAUUAAAUUAAUGGGAUGUGAUCUAUGGCCUCCAAGAUUUCAAAACCACCAUCCUUUUAAUUGUUAAUUAGGGAAGGUAGUGAUCAUGGAGCAUGGGGAACAGUUUUGCUUAUUUUCAAUGUGUUGUGUGUGAUUAUGUGAAUUAUUAACUCUGAGUGGCAUUCAAUUUCGUUCAUUUCUGGGGCUUUAUGAACUAUUUCCAGCCUGCAUCUGUUCCUGUUUUCAAUUCAAAAAUAUGACGUAUAGAGUUCAGCUUGUACCUUGUGAUGAAAAUAAGAAGGAAAAAAAAAAAAAA